Molecule: ribosomal RNA, 375 nt
Filed under: uncultured bacterium
Lineage: Bacteria
Description: bacterial SSU rRNA
Rfam family: Bacterial small subunit ribosomal RNA
Source: RNAcentral
UACGUAGGGGGCAAGCGUUAUCCGGAUUUACUGGGUGUAAAGGGAGCGUAGACGGCACGGCAAGCCAGAUGUGAAAGCCCGGGGCUCAACCCCGGGACUGCAUUUGGAACUGCUGAGCUAGAGUGUCGGAGAGGCAAGUGGAAUUCCUAGUGUAGCGGUGAAAUGCGUAGAUAUUAGGAGGAACACCAGUGGCGAAGGCGGCUUGCUGGACGAUGACUGACGUUGAGGCUCGAAAGCGUGGGGAGCAAACAGGAUUAGAUACCCUGGUAGUCCACGCCGUAAACGAUGACUGCUAGGUGUCGGGUGGCAAAGCCAUUCGGUGCCGCAGCUAACGCAAUAAGCAGUCCACCUGGGGAGUACGUUCGCAAGAAUGAA